GCCAUCGCUCAACGGAUAAAAGGUACUCCGGGGAUAACAGGCUGAUACCGCCCAAGAGUUCAUAUCGACGGCGGUGUUUGGCACCUCGAUGUCGGCUCAUCACAUCCUGGGGCUGAAGUAGGUCCCAAGGGUAUGGCUGUUCGCCAUUUAAAGUGGUACGCGAGCUGGGUUUAGAACGUCGUGAGACAGUUCGGUCCCUAUCUGCCGUGGGCGCUGGAGAACUGAGGGGGGCUGCUCCUAGUACGAGAGGACCGGAGUGGACGCAUCACUGGUGUUCGGGUUGUCAUGCCAAUGGCACUGCCCGGUAGCUAAAUGCGGAAGAGAUAAGUGCUGAAAGCAUCUAAGCACGAAACUUGCCCCGAGAUGA
Molecule: ribosomal RNA, 367 nt
Filed under: Shigella flexneri
Lineage: Bacteria; Pseudomonadati; Pseudomonadota; Gammaproteobacteria; Enterobacterales; Enterobacteriaceae
Description: partial 23S ribosomal RNA
Rfam family: Bacterial large subunit ribosomal RNA
Source: RNAcentral